RNAcentral lists this ribosomal RNA (486 nucleotides) under uncultured bacterium. RNAcentral's name for it is "partial 16S ribosomal RNA". It matches the Rfam family "Bacterial small subunit ribosomal RNA", at positions 30 to 507 of the family's 1533-position model. The record is from RNAcentral.
AUUGAACGCUGGCGGCAUGCCUUACACAUGCAAGUCGAACGGCAGCACGGGUGCUUGCCCCUGGUGGCGAGUGGCGAACGGGUGAGUAAUACAUCGGAACAUGUCCUGUAGUGGGGGAUAGCCCGGCGAAAGCCGGAUUAAUACCGCAUACGAUCUACGGAUGAAAGCGGGGGACCUUCGGGCCUCGCGCUAUAGGGUUGGCCGAUGGCUGAUUAGCUAGUUGGUGGGGUAAAGGCCUACCUAGGCGACGAUCAGUAGCUGGUCUGAGAGGACGACCAGCCACACUGGGACUGAGACACGGCCCAGACUCCUACGGGAGGCAGCAGUGGGGAAUUUUGGACAAUGGGCGAAAGCCUGAUCCAGCAAUGCCGCGUGUGUGAAGAAGGCCUUCGGGUUGUAAAGCACUUUUGUCCGGAAAGGAAUCCUUGGCCCUAAUACGGUCGGGGGAUGACGGUACCGGAAGAAUAAGCACCGGCUAACUACGUG